Molecule: long non-coding RNA, 209 nt
Filed under: Gallus gallus (chicken)
Lineage: Eukaryota; Metazoa; Chordata; Aves; Galliformes; Phasianidae
Source: RNAcentral
GUUGGAUAUGAGGAGGAAGUUUUUCCCCCAGAGGGUGGUGACGCACUGAACAGGUUGCCCAAGGAGGCUGUGGAUGCCCCAUCCCUGUAGGCAUUCAAGGCCAGGCUGGAUGUGGCUCUGGGCAGCCUGGUCUGCUGGUUGGCGACCCUGCACAUAGCAGGGGGUUGGAACUGAUGAGCAUUGUGGUCCUUUUCAACCCAGGCCAUUCU